ACCAGAGGGAAAAGAUAUACUACACUGAACAUUAUAAAGUUGAUUCAAAAGUCUUUAAAACAUUAAAUUGAAAUACAGUACAUGUGUAAUAUACAAAGGCUGUCAUGAAACAAUACCAUUACAUAACUCAAGAAGGAUUAGGUAAUCCAUUCAAUUAUCCUAGACCAGUUGUUAACAUUUUUACAAAGGGUUAAAGGAGGUUAAUAUAAGGCCAAAUGUUAUUUUGAGUUGUGCAUGCACUCUUAAGCUAACUUGGACAAAAUGUUUUUGAUACUAAACUGAUUUUAUAUUUGAUCUCAUUUUACAUCACUUAAUAAAUGACGUCCCAAUCAAAUUGCCCUAUCAAGUCAUGGCUAAUACUCAGUAGUCAGUAUAGUAAUGAUAUCAUACAAUUUUUACUUAUCAGUAAACUUUUCAAGUUUUAAAAUAAACAGCUGCGCCAUGAGCGCAUGAUACGCCCGAUGUCUUAUGUGGAAGUCUUAUGCAAUAAUCAUAAAUAGUUUCUGAGAAAGUUUUAAGCAAUAACCAUAUAUCGUUUUAGAGACACGGCGGGACAUGUGAAAACCCCCACCCUGUUUUUUUUUUUACAAAAAACUAAAUAUUACCAAAAUAAAAUUUUGAAUCAAAACCAAAAAGUAUACAGAUCUUUAGAUUAAUAUAACAAAGAAGUGUGUAAAGUUUUAAGCAAUAAUCAUAAAUUAUUUUUGAGAUACGGCGCGACAUGUAAAAAACCCUCCCCUGUUUUACAAAAUACUCAAUAACUCAAAAAUAAAAUUUUGAAUAAUCACCAAAAAGUAUACAGAUCUUAAGAUUAAUAUAACAAAGAAGUGUGUAAAGUUUUAAGCAAUAAUCAUAAAUCGUUUUUGAGAUACGGCACAACAUGUAAAAAAAACCCUCCCCC
Molecule: long non-coding RNA, 901 nt
Filed under: Mytilus galloprovincialis (Mediterranean mussel)
Lineage: Eukaryota; Metazoa; Mollusca; Bivalvia; Mytilida; Mytilidae
Source: RNAcentral